Long non-coding RNA from Sander lucioperca (pikeperch), 653 nucleotides. RefSeq lists it as uncharacterized. The transcript is spliced from 3 exons. The record is from RefSeq and is a predicted model, not a curated record. Lineage: Eukaryota; Metazoa; Chordata; Actinopteri; Perciformes; Percidae.
GAACCGUAUCUACUCACAACUGGGGUCCCUCAAGGUUACGUCCUGGGUCCCCUCCUCUUUUCUCUGUACACCAACUCUCUUGGUUCUGUUAUUCACUCACAUGGCUUUUCUUAUCACAGCUACGCAGACGUCACCCAACUAAUUCUCUCUUUUCCCCAGUCUAAAACACAGGUAGCAGCUCGCACCUCUACCUGUCUGACUGACAUCUCUCAUUGGAUGUCCACACCAAGGUUUUCGCAAUCGAUGGAUCGGUGGUAUUUUGGUAAUUGGUUUUAUUGGCGCCACUCUAGCUAUGAUUGCAAACAAGCUUUACCUCGUACUAAAACAAUUAAAGAAAAGAAGAGACAAUCCCAAAACACAACACAAUGAUCAUCAUUAAUUAAAUGAAUAGUUUGAAUUUCACAAAGCUCAGUGUCAAGUCAUAAAACGGCCCACUGGACUGUUGUUGAGGACGUUAUACUGUAGCUUUGGUAACUUUCUAUGACGCCUGUCUCUAUAAUGCUUUAUAAACACAGUUAUAAUGUGUUAUAAUCUGCUUAUAAUGCUCUAUAAGUAUAGUUAUAAGCACUUGUGAAUAAUCAUAAUGCUUUAUAACUAUAAUCAUAACACACUAUCAAGCAUUUUUAACCCAUAUCUCAUGCACUCCCAGGUUA